UAUGGAUAAACUUACGAAUGGAUGAAAAAAACAAUUGUUUCUUCAAUUGAAUCAUAAGAGAAUAAUCCACAAUAGUUGAUAAGUGUUGAAGGGAAAACAAGAAAAAUACUUGACAAAAAAGAUGAGGCAAUGUAUGUUCCUCCCAAUUUUUUUUAAAAAGAAGAUUGAGAGAUUAAAGGAUUAAAGAAGAUUCUCCAUAAAACACUAGAAGAUGCUAUUUAUACUUAACCCUAAUUAUGGAAAUAAAAUAACAAAAAUCAUAAAAUUCUUUGGAUUAGGUGAUGUCGUCGUUGGCGCCACGUCAAGGUUCCGACGCCUUAUCAUGGAUGGUAUCAGAAUUGCUCCAGUUGCCUUCAAAAUCUAUCUUAGGAUGAUGAUGUAGCUGACGCCGCGUUACUGAUAUGACAGUGUAUCACCAAUGUCGUCAGAUUUCUUCUUCAAGCUCAAUUCUCUGGUUUAAACUAACGCCCAUCGUGAUGCCUUAUCAGUACUUUGAUGCCAUGUCACCAAUGUCAUCAGAACUUUCUCUUAGACUUCAACUCUUUGGUUAGGUCUAACACCAAUGUUGAUAGCCUAUCACAAGGCUGAUGACUUUUCACAGUCAUCGUCAACCAUGUUUUCAGCUCUUUUUGCUCAGAUUUCACCUCUUUUGCUCCAUUGUUAUUUAUUUCCAUUCAUCUUGACUUUCCUACAAAAUAUUAAGAAAUAACAUCAAAAACACCAAUAAUUAUUUAAGAACUUACAAUUAUUUCAAGUAAAACAGUCUUAAAUGUGCUACAAAAAUCUAGCACAUCACACACCCCCAACCAAUUAGGGUAAAGUGUCCAUUCAUACCUUUAACAGCACCAAGAUAUUGGCCUAUGACCAUGUUUACUACAUCUUUAAGAGCAAGCAUCCUGGCUCUCAGGGCCUCAGAAAACCCUGGAUCCUUUCUUACUAAGUGAUUCCAAGAAGAUGCUUCAACCCCGUUAAGUUUUAGCUGACUAUCAUGGUCCAAUAAAGAUUUCCAAUUCCGUUUUGGAAUAUUUUCAUUCCUGAUUAGAACGACCUAUGUUUUAAGGGAGGAUAGAAGGUGAACCAGCUUCUUUGGGUGCCUCUCCCUUCUGGUCGAGUAGCUUUCGCUCCUUCCUACUUACUUUAUUAUAAUAUAAGCUUAAGCUGCUACGUGGACUAUUGGGAGAUUUUUAGUCAUAGUGGGAGCUUUCAAAAAUCACUUAGCAGGUCAAGAUCAUAGGAAGAGGGAACAACAAGGGAGAAGAUCUUAUUUAAAAGAAGACGAUUCCAAAAGAAAGUCAAAACGGGGAAUAGGAUGCCUUAACGGUAAAUAAGAAAGAUCCUAAAUAAAAAAUAAAAUACCUAUUAAAACGAUUAUAAGAAUACCACUUACAGUACCUAUUAUCCAAAGAGGAAUCCUUCCAGUAGUAUCAGCCAUUUACCCCACUUCCCUCCAGAUUUCACAAGUGGUCAUGCUAGAGACAUAAACAGACUUGGAUAAUUGAAUUAUGAGAUCCUUCUGAAUGAGCUAAGAGAAUUUUAUUUAUUCUUUUUCAUUUUGUUAAUUGAAGAAAUAAUUGAAAAAUCAAAAAGCAAGUACAAAAAUGAGUAAUAACCCCCAGUAGAGACUGGUACGAUGAAAUUCAACAUUUUGUUCGUUCGGGUUUGAUUGUGUCAUAGCUCUAUAAUUUGGAUGUUCUUUAUCAUUGGAUGAACUGAUGAUAUUGAUCUCCUAAAAAAGAUAGUAGGUAUAGCCAGGUCGUGAAUAGCCAACCAUCGUACUGAAAAAAUUGGAUAGGUUUGAUCUAUAGUCAUUAGGGCCUCCUAAAAUGAUCUACUACAUUCCUCGAGUUAUUCUAAAGGAUCAAAAUGGACAAUUAUUAAUCGAAUUCCUUGUCGGGUAAGUUCCAACCUGCACAAAAAGAGUAAUGAUCUGGGCCCUGUCUCGGAGAGAGGCUCGGAGAAAUAGACAUGUCUAUGAAGAUGUGCACUACCUACACCUGGACAGAAACUACCUGCACCUGGACAGAAAGACCUUAUGAAGCUUCACUAUUCCCUGGGAUUGGCUUUGGUCCUUUCCUGCGUAACUUAGGUGGAAGGCAAAGAAGGCCUCUUUCCGGGGGGCUCAAGCCAUCAGUGAGAUACCACUAUGGAAGGGCUAGAAUUCUAACCUUGUGUCAGGACCUACGGGCCAAGGAACAGUCUCAAGUAGAUAGUUUCUAUGGGACGUAGGCAUCCCAAAAGGUAACGGAGGCGUGAAAAGGUUUCCUCGGGCCGAAUGGAGAUUGUCCCUCGAGUGUGUAGGUAGAAGGGAGCUUAACUGUAAGACCCACCCCAUCGAACAGAAAUGAAAGUCGGCCUUAGUGAUCUGAUGGUACCGAGUGGAAAAGCCGUAAAUCAAUGGAGAAAAGUUACUCUAAGGAUUAAAAGCUGAUCUUCCCCAAGAAGUCACAUCAAUGGGAAGGUUUGGCACCUCGAUGUCAGCUCUUCAUCACCUGGAGAUAUAUAUGUUCUAAGGGUUGGGCUGUUCGCCCAUUAAAGCGGUAUGUGAGCUGGGUUCAAAACAUCGUAAGAUAGUUCGUUCCAUAUUUGGUAUGGUCGUUAGAGAAUUGAGAGGAUCUUUCCCUAGUACGAGAGGACCGGGAAGGACGUACCUCUGGUGUACCAGUUAUCAUGCCCACGGUAAACGCUGGGUAGCUAAGUGCAGAGCGGAUAACUGUUGAAAGCAUCUAAGUAAUAAGCCCACCCCAAGAUGAGUACUCUCCUAUUCCGACUUCCCCAUAGCUUCCGGUAGCACAGCCGAGAUAGCGACGGGUUCUCUUCCCUUGCGGGGAUGGAGCGACAGAAGUUUUUUUGAGAAUUCAAGAGAAGGUCACAGCGAGAUGAGCCAUUUAUCAUUACGAUAGGUGUCAAGUGGAAGUGUAGUGAUGUAUGUAGCUGAGGCAUCCUAAUAGACCGGUAGACUUGAAC
RNAcentral lists this ribosomal RNA (2964 nucleotides) under Capsicum baccatum. RNAcentral's name for it is "bacterial LSU rRNA". The stretch from base 1967 to 2953 matches the Rfam family "Bacterial large subunit ribosomal RNA", at positions 2048 to 2912 of the family's 2925-position model. Lineage: Eukaryota; Viridiplantae; Streptophyta; Magnoliopsida; Solanales; Solanaceae. The record is from RNAcentral.